RNAcentral lists this ribosomal RNA (468 nucleotides) under uncultured bacterium. RNAcentral's name for it is "partial 16S ribosomal RNA". It matches the Rfam family "Bacterial small subunit ribosomal RNA", at positions 28 to 507 of the family's 1533-position model. The record is from RNAcentral.
GACGAACGCUGGCGGCGUGCUUAACACAUGCAAGUCGAACGGAAAGGCCCUGCCUUUGUGGGGUGCUCGAGUGGCGAACGGGUGAGUAACACGUGAGUAACCUGCCCUUGACUUUGGGAUAACUUCAGGCAACUGGGGCUAAUACCGGAUAGGAGCUCCUGCUGCAUGGUGGGGGUUGGAAAGUUUCGGCGGUUGGGGAUGGACUCGCGGCUUAUCAGCUUGUUGGUGGGGUAGUGGCUUACCAAGGCUUUGACGGGUAGCCGGCCUGAGAGGGUGACCGGCCACAUUGGGACUGAGAUACGGCCCAGACUCCUACGGGAGGCAGCAGUGGAGAAGAUUGCACAAUGGGCGGAAGCCUAAUGCAGCAACGCCGCGUGCGGUAUGACGGCCAGCGGGUUGUAAACCGCAUUCGCCUGUGACGAAGCGUGAGUGACGGUAAUGGGUAAAGAAGCACCGGCUAACUACGUG